This 533-nucleotide ribosomal RNA is filed under the name Bifidobacterium breve. Its description in RNAcentral is "bacterial SSU rRNA". The record is from RNAcentral. Lineage: Bacteria; Bacillati; Actinomycetota; Actinomycetes; Bifidobacteriales; Bifidobacteriaceae.
GGGUGGUAAUGCCGGAUGCUCCAUCACACCGCAUGGUGUGUUGGGAAAGCCUUUGCGGCAUGGGAUGGGGUCGCGUCCUAUCAGCUUGAUGGCGGGGUAACGGCCCACCAUGGCUUCGACGGGUAGCCGGCCUGAGAGGGCGACCGGCCACAUUGGGACUGAGAUACGGCCCAGACUCCUACGGGAGGCAGCAGUGGGGAAUAUUGCACAAUGGGCGCAAGCCUGAUGCAGCGACGCCGCGUGAGGGAUGGAGGCCUUCGGGUUGUAAACCUCUUUUGUUAGGGAGCAAGGCAYUUUGUGUUGAGUGUACCUUUCGAAUAAGCACCGGCUAACUACGUGCCAGCAGCCGCGGUAAUACGUAGGGUGCAAGCGUUAUCCGGAAUUAUUGGGCGUAAAGGGCUCGUAGGCGGUUCGUCGCGUCCGGUGUGAAAGUCCAUCGCUUAACGGUGGAUCCGCGCCGGGUACGGGCGGGCUUGAGUGCGGUAGGGGAGACUGGAAUUCCCGGUGUAACGGUGGAAUGUGUAGAUAUCGGA